UUCGGGAACUCUGAGACAGGUGCUGCAUGGCUGUCGUCAGCUCGUGUUGUGAAAUGUUGGGUUAAGUCCCGCAACGAGCGCAACCCUUAUCCUUUGUUGCCAGCGAGUAAUGUCGGGAACUCAAAGGAGACUGCCGGUGAUAAACCGGAGGAAGGUGGGGAUGACGUCAAGUCAUCAUGGCCCUUACGAGUAGGGCUACACACGUGCUACAAUGGCAUAUACAAAGAGAAGCGAACUCGCGAGAGCAAGCGGACCUCAUAAAGUAUGUCGUAGUCCGGAUUGGAGUCUGCAACUCGACUCCAUGAAGUCGGAAUCGCUAGUAAUCGUAGAUCAGAAUGCUACGGUGAAUACGGUUCCCGGGCCUU
RNAcentral lists this ribosomal RNA (365 nucleotides) under uncultured Enterobacteriaceae bacterium. Its description in RNAcentral is "bacterial SSU rRNA". It matches the Rfam family "Bacterial small subunit ribosomal RNA", at positions 1019 to 1382 of the family's 1533-position model. Lineage: Bacteria; Pseudomonadati; Pseudomonadota; Gammaproteobacteria; Enterobacterales; Enterobacteriaceae. The record is from RNAcentral.